AGAAUUUUUUUAUUUUCUUUCUUAAAACUCCAACCAAAUAAGAGGCCCGGUCCCUCUCUACUUCCCAGGUAGUGCCUCUUCCUCCCUCCACUUCUUGCGAACCAAACGGAUCUUUAGUGUCUGCUUUGUAUAUGGAAAAUGGUGGAAUUGUGUGGAAAAAGAUGUGGAAGAGUAUGAGUAGUGGGAAGAGAGAGAGAGAGUUAGAGGUCUCAUUUUUGUUGAGGUGUGAGGAAGUUUUCUUAUAUGGCUCAAUUAUCUUUUAAAGAGAUCAUC
Molecule: long non-coding RNA, 273 nt
Filed under: Elaeis guineensis (African oil palm)
Lineage: Eukaryota; Viridiplantae; Streptophyta; Magnoliopsida; Arecales; Arecaceae
Description: long non-coding RNA (EGUI_LNC016059)
Source: RNAcentral